This 1432-nucleotide ribosomal RNA is filed under the name uncultured organism. RNAcentral describes it as "16S ribosomal RNA". It matches the Rfam family "Bacterial small subunit ribosomal RNA". The record is from RNAcentral.
CUUAACACAUGCAAGUCGAACGGAAAGGCCCUGCUUUUGUGGGGUGCUCGAGUGGCGAACGGGUGAGUAACACGUGAGUAACCUGCCCUUGACUUUGGGAUAACUUCAGGAAACUGGGGCUAAUACCGGAUAGGAGCUCCUGCUGCAUGGUGGGGGUUGGAAAGUUUCGGCGGUUGGGGAUGGACUCGCGGCUUAUCAGCUUGUUGGUGGGGUAGUGGCUUACCAAGGCUUUGACGGGUAGCCGGCCUGAGAGGGUGACCGGCCACAUUGGGACUGAGAUACGGCCCAGACUCCUACGGGAGGCAGCAGUGGGGAAUAUUGCACAAUGGGCGGAAGCCUGAUGCAGCAACGCCGCGUGCGGGAUGACGGCCUUCGGGUUGUAAACCGCUUUCGCCUGUGACGAAGCGUGAGUGACGGUAAUGGGUAAAGAAGCACCGGCUAACUACGUGCCAGCAGCCGCGGUGAUACGUAGGGUGCGAGCGUUGUCCGGAUUUAUUGGGCGUAAAGGGCUCGUAGGUGGUUGAUCGCGUCGGAAGUGUAAUCUUGGGGCUUAACCCUGAGCGUGCUUUCGAUACGGGUUGACUUGAGGAAGGUAGGGGAGAAUGGAAUUCCUGGUGGAGCGGUGGAAUGCGCAGAUAUCAGGAGGAACACCCAGUGGCGAAGGCGGUUCUCUGGGCCUUUCCUGACGCUGAGGAGCGAAAGCGUGGGGAGCGAACAGGCUUAGAUACCCUGGUAGUCCACGCUGUAAACGGUGGGUACUAGGUGUGGGGUCCAUUCCACGGGUUCCGUGCCGUAGCUAACGCUUUAAGUACCCCGCCUGGGGAGUACGGCCGCAAGGCUAAAACUCAAAGGAAUUGACGGGGCCCCGCACAAGCGGCGGAGCAUGCGGAUUAAUUCGAUGCAACGCGUAGAACCUUACCUGGGUUUGACAUGGAUCGGGAGCGCUCAGAGAUGGGUGUGCCUCUUUUGGGGUCGGUUCACAGGUGGUGCAUGGCUGUCGUCAGCUCGUGUCGUGAGAUGUUGGGUUAAGUCCCGCAACGAGCGCAACCCUUGUUCACUGUUGCCAGCACGUUAUGGUGGGGACUCAGUGGAGACCGCCGGGGUCAACUCGGAGGAAGGUGGGGAUGACGUCAAGUCAUCAUGCCCCUUAUGUCCAGGGCUUCACGCAUGCUACAAUGGCUGGUACAGAGAGUGGCGAGCCUGUGAGGGUGAGCGAAUCUCGGAAAGCCGGUCUCAGUUCGGAUUGGGGUCUGCAACUCGACCUCAUGAAGUCGGAGUCGCUAGUAAUCGCAGAUCAGCAACGCUGCGGUGAAUACGUUCCCGGGGCUUGUACACACCGCCCGUCAAGUCAUGAAAGUUGGUAACACCCGAAGCCGGUGGCCUAACCGUUGUGGGGGAGCCGUCGAAGGUGGGACUGGUGAUUAGGACUAAG